Molecule: non-coding RNA, 73 nt
Organism: Megalops atlanticus (tarpon)
Lineage: Eukaryota; Metazoa; Chordata; Actinopteri; Elopiformes; Megalopidae
Source: the annotation of a GenBank genome assembly
GUUCCUAUGGCUCAACUGGUAGAGCAUGGCACGAGCGAUGCCAAGAUUACGGGCUCGAUUCCGACACGUAAUA